UACGGAGGAUGCGAGCGUUAUCCGGAUUUAUUGGGUUUAAAGGGUGCGUAGGCGGACUAUCAAGUCAGCGGUAAAAUUGAGAGGCUCAACCUCUUCCCGCCGUUGAAACUGGUGGUCUUGAGUGGAUGAGAAGUACGCGGAAUGCGUGGUGUAGCGGUGAAAUGCAUAGAUAUCACGCAGAACUCCGAUUGCGAAGGCAGCGUACCGGCAUCCAACUGACGCUGAGGCACGAAAGCGUGGGGAUCAAACAGG
Molecule: ribosomal RNA, 252 nt
Filed under: uncultured bacterium
Lineage: Bacteria
Description: partial 16S ribosomal RNA
Rfam family: Bacterial small subunit ribosomal RNA
Source: RNAcentral